CCCUGGCUCAGGAUGAACGCUGGCGGCGUGCUUAACACAUGCAAGUCGAACGAUGAUCCCAGCUUGCUGGGGGAUUAGUGGCGAACGGGUGAGUAACACGUGAGUAACCUGCCCUUAACUCUGGGAUAAGCCUGGGAAACUGGGUCUAAUACCGGAUAUGACUCCUCAUCGCAUGGUGGGGGGUGGAAAGCUUUAUUGUGGUUUUGGAUGGACUCGCGGCCUAUCAGCUUGUUGGUGAGGUAAUGGCUCACCAAGGCGACGACGGGUAGCCGGCCUGAGAGGGUGACCGGCCACACUGGGACUGAGACACGGCCCAGACUCCUACGGGAGGCAGCAGUGGGGAAUAUUGCACAAUGGGCGAAAGCCUGAUGCAGCGACGCCGCGUGAGGGAUGACGGCCUUCGGGUUGUAAACCUCUUUCAGUAGGGAAGAAGCGAAAGUGACGGUACCUGCAGAAGAAGCGCCGGCAACUA
RNAcentral lists this ribosomal RNA (472 nucleotides) under Micrococcineae bacterium CL4.75. Its description in RNAcentral is "bacterial SSU rRNA". It matches the Rfam family "Bacterial small subunit ribosomal RNA", at positions 17 to 502 of the family's 1533-position model. The record is from RNAcentral. Lineage: Bacteria; Bacillati; Actinomycetota; Actinomycetes; Micrococcales.